RNAcentral lists this long non-coding RNA (2025 nucleotides) under Homo sapiens (human). Its description in RNAcentral is "HSALNT0041425". The record is from RNAcentral. Lineage: Eukaryota; Metazoa; Chordata; Mammalia; Primates; Hominidae.
GGAAUAUAAGUGAAUCAUGGGGUGGUUUUCCUCAUACUGUUCUCAUGGCAGUGAAAAAGUCUCACAAGAUCUGAUGGUUUAAUAAGGGGUUUCCUUUUUCACUUGGCUUUCAUUCUCCUUAUCUACCACCAUGUAAGACAUGCCUUUCGCCUUCCACCGUGAUUAUGAGGCCUCCCCAGCCACGUGGAACUCAUACACUUAAUAAUUCAUUACCUAUUAAGCUUCUUCUCAGCUGAGGUCAUGCAAAAAUGACUCACUUGCAUAUGAUACUUUCCUUGAGGAAUUAAACCAUAAACUGCCUUUGAUCAAGCUACAGUUUUGAACUGAUUACAGCUUUUGAAGCCUCAGAAGAUUUAAAGACCCACAUUGUUAACAAUGGUGUUUUAGGUGUGUGGCGUAUUAGAGGAGUCGGCUAAUUCUAAGUCCUCAAGUGCUCAGAAAACAACAUUAAAAAGUCUGACAUUUGAAAAGUAUGGAAUUAAACAUCAUGGAACUGGCUUUAAGAAGGUAUCCAUUCGUGGCAUGAAAAUGUGAAGAACUUUCUUUCUUUGCAAUGUGAGUUCAAGGAAACGCCCAAGAGUGGAUGUUCCAUCGUAAAUGCUCUGCCCCCAGCUUUUCAAAGGACACAGAAAUUGCACCCAGCAAAGAUGUCCUGUCAAAAUGAUUUAAAAGAAGAAAAAGAAAGUUGCUAGAGGGGAACUGGUACUCCAGAUCAAAAAACAAUUUUAAGUGGUCUAUUUUGGUGGUCUGUGUUGAGACAUAUAACAGCCCAGGCUGCUGUUUUUCCAAGAGGUUAAAUUUCAAAAAGAGGAAACAACAGCAAACAGGCUGCCAAUUUACUCAACAAUGUCACAACUGGCUGGAGCUCUGUUCAAAGCAAAACCGCUGAUUUACAAAUUCCUGGAUUUACUCUUAAAUAUUAACACUUCUUAGGAAACUUUAGACCUUACAUGUCACAUUUAUGACUCCUAGGCAGACACAACCCUCUCCAAACACAUGGUCCUCAUGACAACUCUUUGCCAUGUAUUUCAGCCCCACUAAGGGAAGCCACUGUCAACUCAACCUGUGAUGCCAAGAAGCAGCCCAGGUACCAAGGGACAUAGACUGGAGUCAACAUUAGAUGCGUUUCUGUAUGGUGUAGCUUGGAGGAGGAUGUUUACAGCACAAUUCCGCAAUAAUAUGCUGUAGCAGACAGAAGUUUCCCUUCUAUCAGACAAAGAACUAGUCAGGGAAGGCAAGCUGGCUAGACCACGGUUCAGUUUUUCUCAUCUCCUUUCUGCAAGUGGAAAAUCUGCUGGCUGGCAGUGGAAAUAAUAGGGAAACCACCUCAGAAUGUUGGAGAAGAGGAUGGGGGAGGAGUUGCAGCUCAGGAAUCCUUCAAAGAAGACAUGUGGGGAGAGGAAGACAGCACACAGAAGCAGGGAGAAGUUAAGAGUAUGAACCUUACCAACAGGUAAAAAUGUGUCAUAUUAAUUUUUUCAACAUCAACAAACACGUCAAAAGAUGGAGCACUGAAAGCUGCAUUUUAAACAAAUGCCCCAGUCCCACUGAGAAGUGACAGCAUGCUGGCAGCCCUCGCAGCCCUCGCUCGCUCUUGGCACCUGCCCUUGGCACCUCCUCGGCCUCAGCGCCCACUCUGGCCGCGCUUGAGGAGCCCUUCAGCCUGCCGCUGUACUGUGGGAGCCCCUUCUUGGGAUGGCCGAGGCUGGAGCCGGCUCCCUCAGCCUGCGGGGAGGUGCGGAGGGAGAGGCAUAGGCGGGAACCGGGGCUGCCCGCGGCACUUGCGGGCCAGCUAGAAUUCUGGGUGGGCUUGGUGGGCCCGGCACUUGGAGUGGCCAGCCGGCCCCGAGCAGUGAGGGCUUAGCACUUGGGCCAGCAGCUGCGGUGGGUGCGCCGGGUCCCCCAGCGGUCUCGGCCCACUGUCGCUGCGCUAGAUUUCUCGCCGGGCCUUAGCUGCCACCCCGCAGGGCAGGGCUCGGGACCCAAAGCCCGCCAUGCCUGAGUCCCGCCCCUCCCCGCCCCCCC